GACGUAGGGCGCGAGCGUUGUCCGGAUUUAUUGGGCGUAAAGAGCUCGUAGGCGGCCCUCCACGUCGGAUGUGAAAGCUCAGGGCUCAACCCUGAGAUGCCAUUCGAUACGGGAAGGCUAGAGGUAGGUAGGGGAAAGUGGAAUUCCUGGUGUAGCGGUGAAAUGCGCAGAUAUCAGGAGGAACACCGGUGGCGAAGGCGGCUUUCUGGGCCUUACCUGACGCUGAGGAGCGAAAGCUGGGGGAGCGAGCAGG
This 253-nucleotide ribosomal RNA is filed under the name uncultured bacterium. Its description in RNAcentral is "partial 16S ribosomal RNA". It matches the Rfam family "Bacterial small subunit ribosomal RNA", at positions 524 to 776 of the family's 1533-position model. The record is from RNAcentral.